AAAGAUUUUUAUAUAGUAUGACAGUUGGCAGAGAGACUGUGAUGAAUAAGAUUACAGGCAGAAAACUUUCUGUGAUUAAAAGGAAAAGAACAAGAAAGGGACGAACCUUGAAAGUCAUCCAAAAACAGCGGUCGAUUCAGCUGAAACAACAGAGAAACUUCUUGAGAAAAGUGCCAAACAGCAUCUAGCAAUAGCAUAAAGAUUCACACAGGGUCAAUCCACGUCUUGCCUUCCAGCAGGAUUUAGAUGAGUUUCAACUGAAGUUUGAAAGCACAUUUUGCAACGAAGAGAUAAGCAGCAACAACCACUACUUUUAUCUUUAAGGGAAUUGAGGGGGGCAUGGGGCACUCUCGAUGAUAGGCUUUACCGAAAGCUGUGUGGCAUCAUUACAUUGCCGUUCCAGACACCUUUUGGAGAGAUUCCUAUGCAGGAGGGGGAAUCUUAAAAUUUAUGUUAAAGCUGCAGUUUAUAUAUAUUUAUCUGACACAACUGGGUUGUUGCUGUUACACGCCUGAACCACCUGAACUUUAAUUAACUGCAAUUAACCCUGCAUUAGUUUGUGCUCCUCUCAUCCUCACUUUGUUUUGACCCAUAUAUUUCAACUGAAAGGCAGGCUUGUGAUUUUGGACCAGUAUUGUGUUUUUACGCAUAUGUCUAUUAAUGUGACAUACUAACAUCAAGCGUAUACUAUCCACCUGUUUCUCAAACGUGGAAGUAAGUGAUGUGACAUAUUUCCUCUCCGGUCCGAGACUUCCGUUUUAAUAGCCAGCCGGUAGAGGGGCGUGGUGGGAGCACGCAUAAAACAUGAUUUAAACAGUUAAUAUUUACUACACCUGCCAUGUAUGAACCAGUGUGACAAUGAAAUUAAGAAGUGACUUGAUAUAUGAAGAUGUAUUCAAUCAUUUCGUGUUGUUGAUCGGAGGUGACGGGUCUUUAAUGCGCAACUAUAAAAGCAGAGACAUACCGGUAUCUUUACAAUGGGAAAGUCAGUCGACACCCUCUGGUGUGAGUUUUUUUGUAAAAGGCAAUU
Non-coding RNA from Paramisgurnus dabryanus, 1030 nucleotides. The record is from RefSeq and is a predicted model, not a curated record. Lineage: Eukaryota; Metazoa; Chordata; Actinopteri; Cypriniformes; Cobitidae.